RNAcentral lists this non-coding RNA (135 nucleotides) under Erinaceus europaeus (western European hedgehog). Its description in RNAcentral is "Eukaryotic large subunit ribosomal RNA". It matches the Rfam family "Eukaryotic large subunit ribosomal RNA", at positions 818 to 952 of the family's 3401-position model. Lineage: Eukaryota; Metazoa; Chordata; Mammalia; Eulipotyphla; Erinaceidae. The record is from Rfam by way of RNAcentral.
GGUAGAGCAUGAACUAUGCCUGAGCAGGGCAAAGUCAGAGGAAACUCUGGUGCAGGUCCAUAGCAGUCUUGACAUGCAAAUCGGUCCUCCUACCUGGGUAUAGGGGUGAAAGACUAAUUGAACCAUCUAGUAGCU